UCGUCAUCCCACCUAAACCUGAGUUUGUUUGUAUCAAUAAACCAUAAAAAUAGGCUUUCUUUGCAUGCAGCACUGUGUCGGGUUGCGGUGAAUCGAAUCCUUGCGUUACGCUCUAUUACUGCAAACCGGUAAAUCACCCAGUCGAGUGGGACCUUGGCGGCCAGCUCGGACCUGUUCCAGAGCCGUUCCGACCGGGAUCGGAACGGUUAGUUUAAAUUUUGUGUGUGAAAAGAUUCCUCCAUUUUUGAACCGACCUGAAAAGUGUGUUUCGUCGUGUGGUUGUUGUUUGGAAAAGUGCGCGCUCCGGGAAAAAUAAAACCGAGAAGGAAACUCGCGUGAAACACGCGCUUUUUCGUUCCGAUUUGGGAGUUUUGCGCCGAGAAGUUCGUAGAUUUUCAUGCAAUGAUAGCGGAAAUAUUGUUUCUCGUUGGUUUAGCUCAAAACUGGCUCAUGGCGGAACUUGCCGUUCGCUCAUUCAAAUGUUGUUGUUAAUUAAAAAGUUUUACGAUUCAUCGUUGAAAAACAUCGCCCGGUCCAAGGCAGCACGUGCCGCAAACAACUGAUACUGGCACUCUGUUUUCGUUCGUUUCAAACCCCGAAAAUUCCACCGGAUUCAAUUUUCCGGGUUUCCAUAACGAUUCAACAAUCCAACCGACCGAAAACAACCCGAACGUCGCAAUGAACCGUUCCCGUUCGGUUCCACCGGGUGGCAGCGGCACUGGCGGCGGCGGCGGUGGCUGCCCCCAAGCGCAACAAUCCGUUGCCAAAUUGGCAUUCGGUGGCGCAGCUGGAAAAGGUGGCCUAGCGACGGUCCUAAACACCCGCGGCGGAGCAAUGAUAAUGAAGAGUGUUAGCAUUUUUCUGGCCAGUGGCAGACGAGCCUCCGCCGUGCCAAGAGAUCGUGCAAGCAAAUCGGGUGACCGGGCGCAAUCGUCGGAUCGGGGACGGGGACAGCAGCAGCAGUUACAACAGCAAGGUGGACGACGAGAUUCUCGUCGCAAUCGGAAGAUACUGGCCAAGAUGGACGAGCUCAACGGGAAGCUCAACCCGAAGAUGCUGGAGAUGUACAAGCGGAGGACACAUUUUUCCAAGAUCGAGGUGGAAGCACUGUGCAAGAUCUUCCGCAAGCUGGUAACGAACGCCUCGCUGAAUUCGAAAGCCCUGGCGGCCAACAACGCUGGGGUGAUUGCCAAGGCCGGUUCUUCAACCGACGGCAUAGACCGGUCGGUGUUUCGCGAGUUGCUGCACAGCACGUUCGACAUUGUGACGGAGGAAACGCUGAUGGAGCGGAUUUUUUGCGCCUGGGAAAAGGGUUACGAAGGACUGCCCAUUCGGCUGGAGGGCUGGAUCCUGGGAUUGUCGACCUUCCUGAAGGGCACCCAGGCGGAGAAGACGGCGUUCUGUUUUAGAGUGUACGACUUGAACAGUGACGGGUACAUUACCAAGGACGAAAUGUUUGCGCUUUUGAGGAAUUGUUUGAUUAAGCAGCCGCAGGACGAGGAUCCGGACGAGGGCGUGAAGGAUCUGGUGGAGAUCGCACUGAGGAAGCUGGAUAUGGAUAAGGAUGGGAAGGUCUCCUUCCAGGACUACCAGGAAGCGAUUGCCGAGGAACCGUUACUGUUGGAAGCAUUUGGGCAGUGUUUGCCAUCGGAUCGUUCUACCGUGUCGUUUUUGUCGACCUUGCAAGCCAAACGCCAUCAAUAGCCGCGGGGACGCUGAUCGAUUUCGGCUCCUUCCUGCUGUGGUAGAACGUAACCGUGGAAGCCAAGAAGAGUCAACCUAAGUCACCCAAUGCAUAACUUCCUGCACCCCUCGCGCGUGGUCCCCAUAGCAUGGUACAUCACCACCACCGCUUCGAUGGCGGUGCUACAGUGGUGCGUUUUUGAUUCAAGCUUCAAUAAUGGUAAGAAGGACACCCCUCAACGAGCCGAUGACCUCCAGUACCCAGACCAGAAGAAGCAUGCAGCACCCCCGGUCACUGAAGAAGCGAGCACCUACGUCGUAUUGACGAUUGGUAGUAGGUACACCAGUGCUAGCACAAAAACUGACGACUUGAAUGGGGACUGACUGGGGAGACAUCGAACUGCGCGAGGAACCAACCAGCACCAGCAACCUAAAUGGGAGACUCUUUUUUGUGGCGAGUGCGUCCGGUGUGUGGUAGGUGAAGAGAUUGAUAGAGUAGGUUAAUCGACGUUUCGAACAUUCUGGAGUAAUUUAGAGAAUGAUAGGUGAAAAUUGUAGAUGACCGGCUUGUUGCGUAUCGUGAAUUUGCAAAUCUAGUUGAAGCUGCAAAGUGUGAUAGUUGCUCUAUGAAUUUAGUAAAAACUUGAAUAAUAAUAUUUUAAAACAUGUUGAUUGAAAUAAAAAUGAAUCAUUAUUUGAAGCCGUUUUGCUUUGAGAUACCUCAUGCCAGUCUAGUCGUUUGAUUCAACCAGCUUAUAGACAGCUGUACAACAGCGCUCCUUAGAAACAAAUGCUCUUAUCAAAUUAACAUCGUCUACCAUUUUCAUAAACAAUGUUUCAUCAUCAACCCGAUAAACUCAUCACCGCGAUGAAUUAAUAAUCACCAUUUCCCACGACGAUACAUGCUCAAUUACACAUCGAUCCUCCCUCCGAAACACGUGCUCAGUAAUUAUGCAUUAGCCAGCCAGCCGAUUAGUUCUAAGCGCCAUUUCCCACAUCCACUGCAUGCUUGACUACAGUGUAGCGGCGUUGUUCUGUUCUUCUUCGCUCAAGGUCCUACCACCCAUCAUAGGUCUCGCAUGAACCGGCUUGA
Molecule: RNA transcript, 2776 nt
Organism: Aedes albopictus (Asian tiger mosquito)
Lineage: Eukaryota; Metazoa; Arthropoda; Insecta; Diptera; Culicidae
Gene name: calaxin
Exons: 6
Source: RefSeq, a predicted model, not a curated record